GCGAAAGAUACGGUGAUAGUGGAAGGGGGAGGAGAGCAGUGGAACAAGAUGAAGAGGAACAGAACCAAGUGUCUGUAAUGACGGUUCUUGUGGCAGCGCUUAGGAAAUCAACAGCGGCUUGCACCUCAUCGGACAACUUCUUUUCUUCUUCCUUCCCAUGUCUUCUUCAAUAUCUCUUCCCUCUGUCUUAUUUCUCUUCCUUUCUUUUGUAUUUUCUGAGUAUAUGAGCAGGUGAUGUAUGUGUGGGGCUAGAUGAAAGUGAAGAUGAAGGCUAGGAGCAGUAGCUCCACGAAAACAUCCCACCGAAGAAGGCUCAACAAAGAUACAGUAAUUUGGCACUAAUGGCAAUGACGAAUAAGGUCCACAAGUGACAAUGAAAGCAACAAUAGAGGUGGUUGAGAUUGGGAUGAACAAGAUUUAUUUGUGCCUCUGCUUCUGCUAUGGUUGAAGAAGGAGGAUUGAAAGUAGUGAAAUUGUAGCAACGGUGGCUUGCAGAGGAGGUAGUGGUGGCAAAGAUUAGGAGAAUUGGGUGUAGAUAGGGGGUAAAUGAAAAUGAGACAUGAGAGAAUAAUGUUGAUGGAGAAGAGAAUGAGAUGAAAAAAUGAUAAUAGAGGUGUGAUUCAUGUAAAAAUGUUAUAUGAUCAUUCAAUUAAAUUCAUAUUUUUAA
Arachis ipaensis is the source of this 667-nucleotide non-coding RNA. The record is from RefSeq and is a predicted model, not a curated record. Lineage: Eukaryota; Viridiplantae; Streptophyta; Magnoliopsida; Fabales; Fabaceae.